AAUAAAAAAUUUAAUAGUUUUUAUUGUUUUAAAAUUAUUUAAUAUAAAUAAAUUUAAAUUUAAAAGUUUUUGUAUUGUUUAAAGAUCAAAUAAUUUUUUUUAUAGAUAAGUAGUAUUGAGAAAGAAAAUUGAAAAAUUUUUUUGUUUAUUAAAAAGUAAUAUUAAUUUUAUGUACCUUUUGUAUCAGGGUUUAUUAAAUAAGAAUAAAAAAUUUUAUGAUCUCGAAUUUAAAGGAGCUAAAUUAGUAUGAAAUUUUUUGUUUUAUAAAAAUUUUAAAUAUUAAUUUAGUAAUGAAACGUUAUUCGUCUUUAAAUAUAUCUAGUUUUUUAAGAAAUAAAUUUAAUUUAUAUAUUAAUUAAUUAAUUUUUUAAUUAUUAAAUUGAUUAAUAAUUAAUAUAAAUAUAUCAGGGGAUAAGCUUUGAUUUAUUAAGAAUUAUAAUUAUAUAAAAUAUUUUAUUAGUUGUAGAUUUAGAAAUAGUUAUCAAUAAAAAAUUUGUAUUAAUUUAUAAAUUUAUAAAAAAUAUUUAGUAGAAUUUAAUUUGAGUAUUAAAAUGUAAAUUUUAAUUGUAAAAAUUUAGUAAUAAUGAUAAAAUUAGUAUAGUAGUAUUGUUUAAAUAUAAUUUAUAAAAAGGUUAUUUUAAGGAAUUCGGCAAAAAUAAUGUUCACCUGUUUAACAAAAACAUGUCUUUUAGAAUAUAAUUUAAAGUCUAACCUGCCCACUGAAUUUAUUUGAAGGGCCGCGGUAUUUUGACUGUGCAAAGGUAGCAUAAUCAUUAGUCUUUUAAUUGGAGGCUUGUAUGAAUGGUUGGAUGAAACAUUAACUGUCUCAAUUUAAUAAAAGUAGAAUUUAAUUUUUAAGUUAAAAAGCUUAAAUGAGAUUAGAGGACGAGAAGACCCUAUAGAUCUUUAUAAUUAAUCAAUUAUUAUUAAUUUAGUAAAUUAAUUUUUAUUAAUUUAUUAAUUAUUUUAUUGGGGUGAUAAAUAAAUUUAGUAAACUUUAUUUAAUAAAAACAUUUAUUUAUGAAUAUUUGAUCCAUUAUUAAUGAUUAAAAGAUUAAGUUACCUUAGGGAUAACAGCGUAAUUUUUUUAGAGAGUUCUAAUCGAUAAAAAAGUUUGCGACCUCGAUGUUGAAUUAAAGGUUAAUUUUAGGUGCAGAAGUUUAAAGUUUUGGUCUGUUCGACCAUUAAAUCUUUACAUGAUUUGAGUUCAAACCGGCGUGAGCCAGGUUGGUUUCUAUCCUUAAUAAUAUAAAAUAUUUUAGUACGAAAGGACCAAAUAUUUAAAAAAUUUUUUAAAAUUAGAAUAAUAAUAAU
RNAcentral lists this ribosomal RNA (1314 nucleotides) under Protohermes similis. Its description in RNAcentral is "16S ribosomal RNA". The stretch from base 623 to 1314 matches the Rfam family "Archaeal large subunit ribosomal RNA", at positions 1423 to 2862 of the family's 2987-position model. The record is from RNAcentral. Lineage: Eukaryota; Metazoa; Arthropoda; Insecta; Megaloptera; Corydalidae.